GGGUCACGCGGUAGCGGAGCGUUCUGUAAGCCUGUGAAGCGAUCUGGUAAUGGGUCGUGGAGGUAUCGGAAGUGCGAAUGCAGACAUGAGUAGCGAUAAAAAGGGUGAGAUGCCCUUUCGCCGAAAGACCAAGGGUUCCUGCGCAAGGCUAAUCCGCGCAGGGUGAGCCGGCCCCUAAGACGAGCCCGAAGGGGGUAGUCGAUGGGAACCACGUUAAUAUUCGUGGGCCUGGUGGUGUGUGACGGAUGGUGUGUGUUGUAUGCUCUUAACGGAUUGAGCAUGCUUCGAAGCUGUCCCGGGAAAUAGCCCCACCGUAUAGACCGUACCCGAAACCGACACAGGUGGUCAGGUAAAGUAUACCAAGGCGCUUGAGAGAAGUGUCC
This 383-nucleotide ribosomal RNA is filed under the name Bacillus cereus. RNAcentral's name for it is "bacterial LSU rRNA". It matches the Rfam family "Bacterial large subunit ribosomal RNA", at positions 1218 to 1704 of the family's 2925-position model. The record is from RNAcentral. Lineage: Bacteria; Bacillati; Bacillota; Bacilli; Caryophanales; Bacillaceae.